AAUUCAACCAACCGUGGAUUGU
RNAcentral lists this microRNA (22 nucleotides) under Equus caballus (horse). RNAcentral's name for it is "eca-miR-9041". The record is from miRBase by way of RNAcentral. Lineage: Eukaryota; Metazoa; Chordata; Mammalia; Perissodactyla; Equidae.